UGCCCAAUAUGCCCUUAAAGGUUUUGAAACU
RNAcentral lists this non-coding RNA (31 nucleotides) under Rattus norvegicus (Norway rat). The record is from RNAcentral. Lineage: Eukaryota; Metazoa; Chordata; Mammalia; Rodentia; Muridae.